Molecule: ribosomal RNA, 497 nt
Filed under: uncultured bacterium
Lineage: Bacteria
Description: partial 16S ribosomal RNA
Rfam family: Bacterial small subunit ribosomal RNA
Source: RNAcentral
GAUGAACGCUGGCGGCGUGCCUAAUACAUGCAAGUCGAGCGAGCGUACGAGGAUCUUUCUUCUCUGAUUUUAUCGCCGGACGGGUGAGUAAACCGUGGAUAACCUACCUAUAAGACUGGGAUAACUCCGGGAAACCGGGGCUAUUACGGGAGAUUUUUUUGAGCCGCAUGGUUCAGAAGUGAAAGACGGUCUUUCUGUCACUUAUAGAUGGAUCCGCGCUGCAUUAGCUAGUUGGUAAGGUAACGGCUUACCAAUGCAACGAUGAAUAGCCGCCCUGCGAGGGUGAUAGGCCACCACGGAACUGAGACGCGGCCGAGACUCCUACGGGAGGCAGCAGCAGGGAAUCUUACGCAAUGGUGGGAAGCAUGACGGUGCAGCGCCGCGUGAGUGAUGAUGGUCUUCUGCUCGUAGAACUCUGUUAUUAGGGAAGAACAUAUGUGUAAGUAACUGUGCACAUCUUACCGUAGCCUAAUCAGAAAGCCACGGCUAACUACGUG